This 235-nucleotide unclassified non-coding RNA is filed under the name Oidiodendron chlamydosporicum. RNAcentral's name for it is "sequence contains 5.8S rRNA gene". The stretch from base 1 to 53 matches the Rfam family "5.8S ribosomal RNA", at positions 102 to 154 of the family's 154-position model. The record is from RNAcentral. Lineage: Eukaryota; Fungi; Ascomycota; Leotiomycetes; Myxotrichaceae.
GAACGCACAUUGCGCCCUGUGGUAUUCCGCAGGGCAUGCCUGUUCGAGCGUCAUUUCAACCCUCAAGCUCUGCUUGGUGUUGGGCCCCGCCCGCUCGCGGCCGGCCCUAAAGACAGUGGCGGCAGCGCCUGGCUCCAAGCGUAGUACAGCUCUCGCUCUGGGGCUAGGCGGUAGCCUGCCAGAACCCCCCUUCUAUGGUUGACCUCGGAUCAGGUAGGGAUACCCGCUGAACUUA